Molecule: small nuclear RNA, 105 nt
Organism: Phodopus roborovskii (desert hamster)
Lineage: Eukaryota; Metazoa; Chordata; Mammalia; Rodentia; Cricetidae
Source: RefSeq, a predicted model, not a curated record
GUGCUCACUUGAGCAGCACAUACACUAAAAUUGGAAUGAUAGAGAUUAGCAUGACCACUGCACGAGGAUGACGUGCAAAUUUGUGAAGAAGCAUUCCAUAUUUUU